UGAGACAUCCUGAAGCACGUGAAGUACCGUCAUCUGAACACCACUAAAGCUGAUCAUUUUCCCUGGCAUGAGUCUGACAGAGGAGGCAUCUACAGAUUACUUUGGGUAUCUUGUCAGUUCUACUUUUCAAAUACACUUUUAUCUUCUAUACUUCAUUUUUGCCCUGGAUUCAACACUGCCAAGAGCAGUCUGUUCUUGAGCGCUUCAGUCUGGAGAAUUGCAGAGGAAACGGUCAGUGCACAAAUGAUUAGCCAGGAUAACGCACUUCCAAACUCGAAUAGAUUUCACUUUUGUUGUUGACUCUGACUCUGUGUUUCCAAGGCUGCGCUGGCUACUUAUUUGCGGCCAAGGAGUUAUUUGCUUUCAACUGUUAUUAAUGAUCCAUACAUUUUAGAGGUACUGUUACAAGAGAUUGCUCCAACUAUCAGUUUGGGUAAUUGAGACCAGUCCUCAGCUCUGAAGCUCUUUUGCAUCAAUAACCUGCGUGGACCAGAGUCUAUACAUAUCCAAAUCAGGAGCCUUGCUUGAACAAGUAAGUAGGACAUUAAUCUUUCAAUGGUGGGUAUCAAAUAUAUAAUACUAAUGGAUACAUGAUUAACCGAUUUGUGAAAUCAUUGGUUAAAGAAGGUGUCUUGGGGCAAGAGGAGUGAGUGGAGAGUGCAAAAGUGCCUUUAUGUGAGAAGCUAGUGUGAGCACUAGAGAUUGGUGCAGCCAGGUGUCAAAUACAAGUGCGUACAGGGACAGGGUGAGUAAAGCGAGUGUAGUAGUGACACUUUUCUUUGGGGGCAGCAUGACUAUGGAAAUGUUCCCAGCUAUAAAUACACAAAAAAAACCUACACACAAUGCUCAGCUAAUUCAUCCCAUGCCACAUCCUUUGUUCAUGCUACUAAUUUGGAUCUCUCUAUCACUUUUUAUCUCUGGCUGCUAUUAAUCUUUCACACAAAUAUGAAUGCCCUGUGUACAACAUGAUUGCUACAGCUGUUAUUUUGUCCUCUGAACAAACUAUUAGCAUUGUUUUUAAUACAGACCCCAUGUAUUAAAUGGAUGAUAGAGCACCCAUUCACUGAAGUACCUCUUAGAGCUCAGGUCUAAUUCAGCAUAGCUAACUUGUGGGGAAUUCCUCUGCAUAGUGGGAUCCUGGAAGACAUGAGGCUAGACAAUUGGUUUUGUGUCACACCUUCUGGUUGCUUCUUGGUUGUGGCUACAAGAUAUGCACACUUGGACCACACUGGCAUGCAAGAGGUGGCAGAUUGCAUCUGAUGCGCAGCUAUUGGAAGGGAAGAACCACAAGUUGGAUACUGACCACAUCGCCUCUGGGUGCUACUCCACUAAUAAAACAAAUAAAGAUAUGUGGAUUAUGGAAGCCUUUAUAGACCUACAUGGAAAUCAUCUGGCUCAGCUGGCAGGGGUCAUGCAGACUUUUUCCAUGGGUUAUAGUCUGUGUGGUUUCACACCCAACAAAUGUCAAAGCAAAACUCAGCUGCAAUUGCCAAGUUUUGUCUGUGUUUGGGUUAAGUCAUAAAAGAACUCACCAAAUUCCACAUCAGUCGUUUCAGAAUUGCAAGAAACCACCCAGGUUCAGUGAAGAGAUCAAGAAUCUGGUGAAAAUUUUGGCAAACGUCACCAGAACAAUGGCUCAAGGAAACCCUGGUUUUUGAGCCUUCUAUAGCGUGACCAUCCUGAUAGCUGGUCUGUCCUUAUGCCAAAUAAUUAUUGUUCCUUGUGACUCUUAUUUUGUAUAGAAAUACUCAGAGUGAACAUACAAGCAUGACUCUCUAGUGUUCUUUAGGCAUUCGACUGUGCUCACUUGCAAGGUUUCUGAGGAUGAAAGGACUGCCUCAGCAGUGAAGAAGGUUGUUGCUCAUGAGUAUGAGCAUGGAUGGAGCUGAUGAGGUUUCAGAAGAUUCUCAGCUUAAAGAGGAAAACAGGAGUGGUGAAAACCUUUUCACCAAAAAGUUUAGCAGUGGUCCACAAUGGUCCAGCACUGCGGAGUGUAUCGCUUUUCAAGAGCGUAAAUGAUCUCCUGGAAGUCAGGAGGACUUGCUUUCCUAAUGGUUAGGGCAUAUUUACAGGCUUUGGCGGAUCAAGACAACGAAGCAUAAAAAAGCACAAUCAUAGCAUGCUUGGCACUGAUACAUUUUCUGGCAGCAACAUCAGUUUGGUUUUCAACUGAAGACAGACAAGCAUAAAAUCAACCAAGGAGGACCAGACCUGUGUUUCUAAUAGCCAAGACAGGCACAAGACUCACCUGAACCAUUGAAUUCAAGAAAGAAGUGUCCCCCAAAGAAGAAUCUGGUGCAAUAUGAAGAUAUUGCAGCUCCGUGGAGGAAACUGGAUUGUAUCACUCUGAGUAUCUUUGUGAGAGCCGCACAGCACAAAAUGGUAUUCCAACACUGAACAGCAUACAGCGUGGAUAAGGUGGGCUUUAAGAAAUCAUUGUUUAGUUCAUGGGUUAUUGAAAUGGAAAUCAAACAAGCCUGCUCAGUACUGCCCUGUGGUGCACUGAUCUCCGCUGGAGCUCCAAGCCGAGUCUUCGGACUCGUGGGCCACCGAUAGCAACGCGAUCGCUCGCAUGAAAUGGCAAGCAAAGAUUUCUUGGAGGACGUCAGAAAAAGCCAUCCAGAUAUAGUGUGACUGAUGGCACAGUCAAGAAUGGAAGUGGUAGGAUAGUUAUGUUUAGAGCAGAACAACAUGAAGACUUGAUCCAAAGCAGGCCUUUCUGAUAUGAAGUCCCAAUAAUCUCAAGGAGAUAGUAAUCUUUGAUGAUCAUGUACUAAUUUAGGAGCCAUUCCUCGACAUUGAUGUCUGUAAGAAAACGUUUACAGCAAGAGAAGACUCAUGGAAGACGGAAAUGCCUCAGAGGUAUGCAGCCUAGCACCAUGCAUUGCCUGACCAGGGACAUCCACACGCUCCUGCUGUGCCAACACAUGUCAGAUGUGAAGAGCACCCUAAUAUGAGUACUUGACCUAAACUGAACAAAUUUCCUAAUUGCAGUAAGACAACACUUGAGGGUGUGGUUACCACAGAAAAUCACACCCAUGGACAGAUUAGGAGCACCUGGCUGCACCUCAUGCCUCCUCAUGCCCCAGGGGCAUGAUUAUCUCAUCAGGGGCCACCUGCCAAGUCUUGUUGCUGAGGAACUGGCUCUGGCACACUGCAAGCUUGGGGUGGGGAGACGAGCACACCAGGGCCAGCAUAUACACUUAUCCCAAGUGCAUUCCUUAACAUCAAGUAUUUACACGGCGAUGGUGUCUUGGUUCAGCUCAGAAGCCUAGCUGUGCUUGGGAGUUACAGAGGAGCAAAAUGUUGUUUCUAGAUCCUGUCCUGCACCCCUCACAUCCUCAGUGCAGGUUGCAUUGUGUGUUACUGGGGAUCAUUACAUCAGCCACAGCGACCCUGAAGUUGUCACUCUCCAGCCAUAGUUUUUCCAACCACUCGGUGCAGUCUACAAGAGGCUCCAAGGAGGUGGAUGAACUCCCUGCUGGCAAUUUUCAAAAUGUUUUGCCCUUUCCUCCCAAAAGAGGACAAAGGCAAAGUGAGACACAGGCUUUAUGAGUACCAAAGUGGUCUGACCAUGAAAACAGCACAUAGACUUCAAGUUCAAGGCAUGAGGCCUAACCUCUACAGCAGUUAGCAGAUCAUGGCCCGGCAACAGCAGGAAGACCAAACCUCUGCCUCUGCCAAGCCUGUUGAGCUUCUCUGGAGCAACGAAGAUCGUAAAACACAAGACAAAGCUCUGAGCCCAGAGGGUGUACUAGAAAUCUAACCACCCAAAUCUGCUCGCCACAAAGGAAGGAGAAAGGCAGCUACGUCCAGAUGCGUUUGAAUUCAAGGAUAUUCAGAAUGUGAGUAUUUGGCCUAGACCACACUAGGGAGAGGGCCUGCCCAUCAGAUGUUUAUAGUCGGGAUACAAACCGUGAGGUCUGAGCUGAACAAAAGCUCUAAGGUUUUGGACAGGGAGUUUUGUUUCGGGCCUACGUCUCAGAGAAAUAAUGGACAUAACCUUUAAAGCUACCUAGAAGCCAUAUCUCUGUCACCAUCACUCUACUGUGGGGUAGCUUUGAUGCAUGCGAAGAGCCUGUGUCAGACAGAUGAGCCAAGCUCACGACGACUUUGACAGCCCAAUGUGCAAGUCUUCUUCAUCCUUUUUGUUCCCCCUGAGAAAAAGCCUUAAUUUUAGGUUAUCCUGGAAAUAGUCCAUAUGCUUAUGAGUUUCACCUGUUCUGUCUCUAAGCCAACACAUCUCUGGGGGACACUAGAGUUGAAGUCCUAUUCCAAAUCCUCUUAUAAAUGCUUAUUAUUAUAGUUUCACGUAGAAACAGUAGAGAUCCCAACAGAGUUCUCCUUGUGCCCUGGACACUGCACAAAUAGGGCUGAAGAGAGAGACAGCUUGCCCUAAAGAGCACACAGCUUCAGCUGAUGAGCUGAACAAGGUGUGAGAGCAAGGAAACGAGGUGAAGCAGCUUGGCGGGAGUUACACUGCAGUCCAGUGACAGAGCCAGGGCCAAGGCCAGUCCCAAAACCAGCCAAUUUUGUCACAGAGGUGGAGAUAGCCCUGAUCUAACAGGGAUGGGAAGAGUGGGCCAGAUGGUGUAGCCAUGACUACUGUUGCGUCCGUCACACGGAUUGGUGUUAAAGGGGAUGCUGUAAAGAGCCCACCGUCCUCUUGAGGGGGCUGCACUUAGGAGCAUGCUGUCCCUUCUCUGUUUGUGCGGCUCCCUCCCUUCUGCCCUGCACAGAUCGAAAGACAAGGUUCAGGGACUGCCUCCAGCAGCCCUAAUCUUUAGGGAUUAAGCAAGAGUAUUUUCCUGAAGGCACAUGAAAAACACAUAUUCCUUCUAACCCACUUCCCACGAGUGUGGAGAAGCCCCUCUUGUAAGGUGGAUUUAGUACAGACAUGAGAGCAUCAACAGAACAAAUCCAAAACAGAGAUGCAUUUUUCUCCCUCUGCAUUUUUGUAACCAGCUGGUACAGACAGUCUGCUCCUUAAUUCACAUUAUUUACUAUAUUUUUGUGCUAGAAUAUGUAGUUGCUUUGAAGAGUUGUGCUGCUAUUGCUAUGUACACACAGGCUCUCUCUUCUACGGGUUAUUCCCAAUCACUUUUUAGCAAAUAAAUGAAUUAACUCUGUCUAUAUACCAGUGGAUAAUCCCCCAAAUAAGCUUCUUAAGAACGGAAUCUCAUGUUGCUAGUGAAUGCAUCCAACCCUACGGAAGAUGAACAGUGAAAGGCGUACACAAAUGGAAAGUUAGAGUAGCACCAUCUUCUUUAGAAGAAGCUAAAUAUAUAUCUAUAUAUGUGUAUAGACACAUGCACACUCGAACAUGCACUGCAAGAAAUGGUGCCAAACUGUAUUAUGUAUAAUCCUGUUUUUUAGACCUUUAUACUAAUUACAUCGAUAUUAUUAAAUGUCAGUUUUAUACUUCAAAUAUGUAAUUGGAUUACCAAAAUAUGUCCAGAGCAUUAAAACGCAUCAAUCAUCCUACAACCAGCUAUUUUAUCUGUAGUCAGUUUUCUUUUUCAAAAAGUCAUAGACUAAUUGCUUCUAGUUGUAAAAAUGUUUACAGUGGCUCAGAGGGCCAAAGGUUAGUAGGCAAGCGCACCGAAAAAGAUGACUUUUCCAGAUA
Molecule: non-coding RNA, 5626 nt
Organism: Struthio camelus australis
Lineage: Eukaryota; Metazoa; Chordata; Aves; Struthioniformes; Struthionidae
Source: RefSeq, a predicted model, not a curated record